This 545-nucleotide ribosomal RNA is filed under the name uncultured Methanosarcinales archaeon. Its description in RNAcentral is "bacterial SSU rRNA". It matches the Rfam family "Archaeal small subunit ribosomal RNA", at positions 339 to 886 of the family's 1478-position model. Lineage: Archaea; Methanobacteriati; Methanobacteriota; Methanomicrobia; Methanosarcinales. The record is from RNAcentral.
GCGCGAAAACUUUACAAUGCGGGAAACCGUGAUAAGGGGACACCGAGUGUCAGCAUCAUAUGCUGGCUGUCCAGGUGUGUAAAAUACACCUGUUAGCAAGGGCCGGGCAAGACCGGUGCCAGCCGCCGCGGUAACACCGGCGGCCCGAGUGGUGAUCGUGAUUAUUGGGUCUAAAGGGUCCGUAGCCGGUUUGGUCAGUCCUCCGGGAAAUCUGAUAGCUCAACUAUUAGGCUAUCGGGGGAUACUACCAGGCUUGGAACCGGGAGAGGUAAGAGGUACUACAGGGGUAGGAGUGAAAUCUUGUAAUCCCUGUGGGACCACCUGUGGCGAAGGCGUCUUACCAGAACGGGUUCGACGGUGAGGGACGAAAGCUGGGGGCACGAACCGGAUUAGAUACCCGGGUAGUCCCAGCCGUAAACGAUGCUCGCUAGGUGUCAGGCAUGGCGCGACCGUGUCUGGUGCCGCAGGGAAGCCGUGAAGCGAGCCACCUGGGAAGUACGGCCGCAAGGCUGAAACUUAAAGGAAUUGGCGGGGGAGCGACAACG